RNAcentral lists this ribosomal RNA (253 nucleotides) under uncultured bacterium. RNAcentral describes it as "partial 16S ribosomal RNA". It matches the Rfam family "Bacterial small subunit ribosomal RNA", at positions 524 to 776 of the family's 1533-position model. The record is from RNAcentral.
UACAGAGGGCCCGAGCGUUGUUCGGAUUUACUGGGCGUAAAGGGCGCGUAGGCGGUGACGUAAGGCGGAUGUGAAAUCUCGGAGCUUAACUCCGAAACUGCAUUCGAUACUGCCGUGCUUGAGGACUGGAGAGGAGACUGGAAUUUACGGUGUAGCGGUGAAAUGCGUAGAUAUCGUAAGGAAGACCAGUGGCGAAGGCGGGUCUCUGGACAGUUCCUGACGCUGAGGCACGAAGGCCAGGGGAGCAAACGGG